This 434-nucleotide ribosomal RNA is filed under the name uncultured Clostridium sp. RNAcentral describes it as "partial 16S ribosomal RNA". It matches the Rfam family "Bacterial small subunit ribosomal RNA", at positions 341 to 792 of the family's 1533-position model. The record is from RNAcentral. Lineage: Bacteria; Bacillati; Bacillota; Clostridia; Eubacteriales; Clostridiaceae.
ACGGGAGGCAGCAGUGGGGGAUAUUGGACAAUGGGGGAAACCCUGAUCCAGCGAUGCCGCGUGAGGGAAGAAGGUUUUCGGAUUGUAAACCUCUGUGGACAGGGACGAUAAUGACGGUACCUGUUUAGAAAGCCACGGCUAACUACGUGCCAGCAGCCGCGGUAAUACGUAGGUGGCGAGCGUUGUCCGGAAUUACUGGGUGUAAAGGGAGUGUAGGCGGGAAAGCAAGUCAGAAGUGAAAAUUAUGGGCUUAACCCAUAACCUGCUUUUGAAACUGUUUUUCUUGAGUGAAGUAGAGGCAAGCGGAAUUCCUAGUGUAGCGGUGAAAUGCGUAGAUAUUAGGAGGAACACCAGUGGCGAAGGCGGCUUGCUGGGCUUUUACUGACGCUGAGGCUCGAAAGCGUGGGGAGCAAACAGGAUUAGAUACCCUGGUA